This 253-nucleotide ribosomal RNA is filed under the name uncultured bacterium. RNAcentral's name for it is "partial 16S ribosomal RNA". It matches the Rfam family "Bacterial small subunit ribosomal RNA", at positions 524 to 776 of the family's 1533-position model. The record is from RNAcentral.
GACGAACCGUGCGAACGUUGUUCGGAAUCACUGGGCGUACAGGGUGUGUAGGCGGUUUGGUAAGCCUUCUGUUAAAGCUUCGGGCCCAACCCGGAAAGCGCAGAGGGUACUGCCAGGCUAGAGGACGGGAGAGGAGCGCGGAAUUCCCGGUGUAGCGGUGAAAUGCGUAGAGAUCGGGAGGAAGGCCGGUGGCGAAGGCGGCGCUCUGGAACGUUACUGACGCUGAGACACGAAAGCGUGGGGAGCAAACAGG